Molecule: ribosomal RNA, 468 nt
Filed under: Aeromonas sobria
Lineage: Bacteria; Pseudomonadati; Pseudomonadota; Gammaproteobacteria; Aeromonadales; Aeromonadaceae
Description: bacterial SSU rRNA
Rfam family: Bacterial small subunit ribosomal RNA
Source: RNAcentral
CAGGCCUAACACAUGCAAGUCGAGCGGCAGCGGGAAAGUAGCUUGCUACUUUUGCCGGCGAGCGGCGGACGGGUGAGUAAUGCCUGGGGAUCUGCCCAGUCGAGGGGGAUAACAGUUGGAAACGACUUGCUAAUACCGCAUACGCCCUACGGGGGAAAGGAGGGGACCUUCGGGCCUUUCGCGAUUGGAUGAACCCAGGUGGGAUUAGCUAGUUGGUGGGGUAAUGGCUCACCAAGGCGACGAUCCCUAGCUGGUCUGAGAGGAUGAUCAGCCACACUGGAACUGAGACACGGUCCAGACUCCUACGGGAGGCAGCAGUGGGGAAUAUUGCACAAUGGGGGAAACCCUGAUGCAGCCAUGCCGCGUGUGUGAAGAAGGCCUUCGGGUUGUAAAGCACUUUCAGCGAGGAGGAAAGGUUGGCAGCUAAUAUCUGUCAGCUGUGACGUUACUCGCAGAAGAAGCACCGGC